AUGAUAUAUUAUUGUAAUUACUUGAACAUCAGAAUUAAUCAGAAAGAAUUUGUCGACUUCAUCUUUAAAAAGGGGGAGAAAACCCCCAGAACAGAAGAGGGUAUGGCUAAAUGUUUAACAUUUGCUAAAGCUGGCUGUUGGUUACAUUUUUUGCUGUCCUUUUCUGUAUCCUUGACGAUUUCAUCAUUUAAAAUGAAAUCAUGCUCUCGGGCCCAGCCUGAUUGGUGGAGAGCAGCUGCCGCCCCGCCACAUCGAGGGGGCGGGCCCGGCGACGCCACCGGCACUUCCUCCGCCGCAGUCGCCGCCUGCCCGGCUGCUGUCUGGCGGGGGAGGAGCUGGAGACCCGGAGCAGCCCCGGCGGCCCUGACGCUCGGCGGCCCGAGAGCUCCGCUCGUCCGGAGGAGCGCGCGGCUGUCAGCCCUGGGUCUACACCUGACAGUCACUGGAAUGCUACUUCAGGCCUUAGAAGAAAGUGAAACUAAUUGUAAAGGCCCCUUAUCCUUUCUGUUACUGCCUGCUGAAGUGAAAAUAGAUCUCCCUGCUCUUUUAUUCUGAACUGAUUUGACUUUCCCAUCUCCCAAGCUUGUGCAGGGAGCAGGAGCCUUUCCGCUCAAGCCCCAGCUGUAUUGGA
RNAcentral lists this long non-coding RNA (631 nucleotides) under Canis lupus familiaris (dog). Its description in RNAcentral is "lncRNA (ENSCAFG00040022597.1)". Lineage: Eukaryota; Metazoa; Chordata; Mammalia; Carnivora; Canidae. The record is from RNAcentral.